RNAcentral lists this ribosomal RNA (446 nucleotides) under uncultured eukaryote. RNAcentral describes it as "SSU rRNA". It matches the Rfam family "Eukaryotic small subunit ribosomal RNA", at positions 415 to 862 of the family's 1831-position model. The record is from RNAcentral.
UCCAAGGAAGGCAGCAGGCGCGUAAAUUGCCCAAUCCUGGUACAGGGAGGCAGUGACGAAAAAUAACAAUACGGGUUGCACUUAUGUGUACUCGUAAUUGGAAUGAGUACAGCUUAAAUCCUUUAACGAGGAUCAAUUGGAGGGCAAGUCUGGUGCCAGCAGCCGCGGUAAUUCCAGCUCCAAUAGCGUAUAUUAAAGUUGUUGUGGUUAAAAAGCUCGUAGUUGGAUCUCAGCCCACGUCCUGAUGGUCCACAAUGCGUGGUUACUGUCAGGCUGGGCACUCUACUGUUAUUGUCCUGUGGUGCUCUUCACCGAGUGUCACAGGCGGUCAGUACGUUUACUUUGAAAAAAUUAGAGUGCUCAAAGCAGGCAUUUCGCCUGAAUACUGUUGCAUGGAAUAAUGAAAUAGGACUUUGGUUCUAUUUUGUUGGUCUUCGGAACCAAGG